Molecule: non-coding RNA, 84 nt
Organism: Staphylotrichum longicolle
Lineage: Eukaryota; Fungi; Ascomycota; Sordariomycetes; Sordariales; Chaetomiaceae
Source: the annotation of a GenBank genome assembly
GCCGGAAUAGCUCAGUGGUAGAGCGCAUCACUCGUACCCUACUGCGACAUGAUGAGGUCCACGGUUCAAUCCCGUGUUUCGGCA